This 177-nucleotide unclassified non-coding RNA is filed under the name Vibrio owensii. Its description in RNAcentral is "sok". Lineage: Bacteria; Pseudomonadati; Pseudomonadota; Gammaproteobacteria; Vibrionales; Vibrionaceae. The record is from RNAcentral.
GGGCGCUCUUGACUUGUUUGUCAUGAGCGUUGAGCAAUUUGCUUGUGGCAGAUAAAUCAAAGCCCCGUUAUCCGGUUACUGUUAGCGCAGUAACUUUCAUUUAACGAGGCCGUGAUGAUGUGUACCAAACUCAUUGUAGAGCCUCUUUACUGUGGAGGCAACAAAAAUGCCGAAAAA